This 432-nucleotide ribosomal RNA is filed under the name uncultured soil bacterium. Its description in RNAcentral is "bacterial SSU rRNA". It matches the Rfam family "Bacterial small subunit ribosomal RNA", at positions 26 to 484 of the family's 1533-position model. The record is from RNAcentral.
AGAUUGAACGCUGGCGGCAUGCCUAACACAUGCAAGUCGAACGGGAGUAGCAAUACUCUAGUGGCGGACGGGUGAGGAAUACGUAGGAAUUUGCCCUUAAGUGGGGGAUAACCCGGGGAAACCCGGAUUAAUACCGCAUGACCUCGAAAGAGCAAAGUGGGGGAUCGCAAGACCUCACGCUUUUGGAGAAGCCUACGUCGGAUUAGCUAGUUGGUGAGGUAAUGGCUCACCAAGGCGACGAUCCGUAACUGGUCUGAGAGGAUGAUCAGUCACACCGGAACUGAGACACGGUCCGGACUCCUACGGGAGGCAGCAGUGGGGAAUAGUGGACAAUGGGCGCAAGCCUGAUCCAGCAAUGCCGCGUGUGUGAAGAAGGCCGUUGGUUGUAAAGUCAACUUUAAGUUAGGGAAAGGAAAACUCGACUACUAACAC